RNAcentral lists this ribosomal RNA (495 nucleotides) under uncultured bacterium. RNAcentral describes it as "bacterial SSU rRNA". It matches the Rfam family "Bacterial small subunit ribosomal RNA", at positions 355 to 866 of the family's 1533-position model. The record is from RNAcentral.
UGGGGAAUCUUGGACAAUGGGGGCAACCCUGAUCCAGCCAUGCCGCGUGAGUGAUGAAGGCCUUAGGGUCGUAAAGCUCUUUCGCCUGUGAAGAUAAUGACGGUAGCAGGUAAAGAAACCCCGGCUAACUCCGUGCCAGCAGCCGCGGUAAUACGGAGGGGGUUAGCGUUGUUCGGAAUUACUGGGCGUAAAGCGCACGUAGGCGGACCAGAAAGUUGGGGGUGAAAUCCCGGGGGCUCAACCCCGGAACUGCCUCCAAAACUAUUGGUCUAGAGUUCGAGAGAGGUGAGUGGAAUUCCAAGUGUAGAGGUGAAAUUCGUAGAUAUUUGGAGGAACACCAGUGGCGAAGGCGGCUCACUGGCUCGAUACUGACGCUGAGGUGCGAAAGUGUGGGGAGCAAACAGGAUUAGAUACCCUGGUAGUCCACGCCGUAAAACGAUGGGUGCUAGGUGUUGGGUAGCUUGCUAUUCAGUGCCGAAGCUAACGCGUUAAGCA